CCUACGGGAGGCAGCAGUGAGGAAUAUUGGUCAAUGGUCGCGAGACUGAACCAGCCAAGCAGCGUGAGGGAUGACUGUCCUGCGGAUUGUAAACUUCUUUUGUCAGGGAACAAAGUGAGGGACGUGUGCCCUUUUGUGUGUCCUUUAUGAAUAAGCAUCGGCUAACUCCGUGCCAGCAGCCGCGGUAAUACGGAGGAUCCGAGCGUUAUCCGGAUUUAUUGGGUUUAAAGGGUGCGGAGACGGGUUGGUAAGUCAGUGGUGAAAGGCUGGGGGUCAACCCCAAGACUGCGUUUGAUACGGGCAGUCUAGAGUUGGAGAGAGGUAGGCGGAAUGCGUGGUGUAGCGGUGAAAUGCAUAGAUAUCGCGCAGAACUCCGAUUGCGAAGGCAGCUUGC
RNAcentral lists this ribosomal RNA (394 nucleotides) under uncultured bacterium. RNAcentral's name for it is "partial 16S ribosomal RNA". It matches the Rfam family "Bacterial small subunit ribosomal RNA", at positions 338 to 729 of the family's 1533-position model. The record is from RNAcentral.